Molecule: long non-coding RNA, 2830 nt
Organism: Gopherus evgoodei (Goodes thornscrub tortoise)
Lineage: Eukaryota; Metazoa; Chordata; Testudines; Testudinidae
Exons: 3
Source: RefSeq, a predicted model, not a curated record
AGCGCCGCCGCAAACUCAACCAAUGAGGCGGCUUCUAACCGCUUCGGCGUCUCUGUCUCCAGGAGCGGCGGGAAUCCUGGUCUCUCAGAGCCGCUUUCAAACUGCAGCCACCCUGGUGCUUGUGUCCUGACUGCUGUGCCAGGGUCGGGCUAGGGACAUGAAUUGGCUGUGACUGACGUCUGGUUCAGAGCUGAGAAUUUUCAGUCUUCAGUCCAGUGAAAAGCAUGCAUGGUUGGCUCAGGACUGGGACACUAGCAAAAUGUGGAACACACAGGGAUCAGCAGGAGCCCAGCGCAACCUUCCUUUCAGCUGAUUCAACUACUACUGUUGGCUGUAGCAGUGCCAAUGCAGAGGAGGCCGUGCAUGAUUUACAAGUUCAGCCUGGGACAGGUGUGACAGCGCAGGACACAGAAAGGGUGUCAAAAAAAUGCAAGUAUGAUAAAAGCUACAUUGAACUUGAAUUUACAUGGACUGGGGACACUGAAUAUCCUCAGCCACAGUGUGUCUUAUGUGGUGAAGUUUUACCAAACAACAGUCUUAAACCUUCCCUUCUUUGCCAGCAUCUAGAGACUAAGCACAAUCAAUUUAAAGACAAACCGGCUCAGUUUUUCAAUCGCAAACUGGAAGAGCUAAAAAGCAGUAAAAAAUUCUGCCAUCAAAUUGCAUGGAAAAUGUAAAUACACUUCGAGCUUCAGACUUCAUGAGUUAGAGUGGCUAAAAUAGGAGAACCACACACUAUUACAGAAGAUUUCCUUAUACCUGCUGUGAAGGUCGUGGUGAAGUGCGUGCUCGAUGAAAAAGUAGGAAAAAAACUUGAUUCCAUACCCCUCUCCCAUGACACUGCGUCUCGCUGCAUUGCCGAUAUGGCUGAAAAUGUUUUCAUUAGAAACAGUGACUAAUAUUCUUUGCAAAUAGACAAGUGCAUGGAUUUAGACAGCCUAGCUAAGCUUUUGGUUUAUGUUCGUUAUCUGUAUGAAAAUACCAUACAUGAAGACUUUCUCUUUUGUCAUUCCCUGCCUACCCAAACAACAGGAGAAGAGAUUUUUUUUGCUGCUUGAUAACUUCAUGAGUGAGAAUAGAAUUGACUGGUCUCGCUGUGUAGGGAUUUCUACUGAUGGGGCAAAAUCGAUGAUGGAAAAGCACAAUGGAGUUGUGGUUUGCAUCAAGGCCAUAGUAACAGAAGCCAUAUGGGUGUACUGCAGCAUUGAUAGAGAGGCCCCAGCUUCCCCAAAAAUGCCGGAAAAUUUAAUGUCAGUGUUGUCUGAUGCUGUCAAAAUGGUUAACUUCAUUAAGGGUCAGUGUCUAAAUUCAAGAACUUUUGCCACCCUGUGUGAUGAAAUGGGAAAUGACCAUUUGCCACUACUAUUGCAUACUGAGGUUCACUGGCUGUCGUUUGGCAAAGUGCUGACACAACUCUUUGAGCUGCACAGUGAGCUUCAAGUUUUUUUCACUGGCCACCUCCCGUUUGCACUGGUCAUCUUGCUUGGACGAUACUGCCUGGCUUCAGCGAUUAGCCUACUUGGCAGACAUUUUUUCUUGCCUCAACGAGCUCAGUUUAGGCCUUCAGGGCUUAAGCACCACUAUUUUUGAAACACAAGACAAAAUCGAAUCCAUGAUAAAGAAACUACGAUUUUGGGAUAGCUGCUUAAACAGAAAUAUGAUUAAUUGCUUUCCAACAUGUCAAUUGUUUCUUGCAACAAAUGACAAUAUGCUUUUACAUGAGAGUGUGUGAAAGCUGACAUGGAGCAUUUGCAACAACUUAGCAAACAACUUAGAAAAUAUUUCCCCAAAAUGGACAAUGCAAAUUCCUGGAUACGCAAUCCAUUUAAGGUGCUUCAGUCUCUCCCAAUCCCUCCUCUGCCAGUGCGUGAGCAGGAGAAAUUGUUAGAUCUCUCUUGUGACAGUGGUCUUAAAUUGCCAAAGUUUGCAUUCAGACUGUAGACUUCUGGGUGCAAAGGGUGGAAGAUUACCCAUACGUGUCAUAACAAGCUGUCAAGUUUCUGAUGCCCUUCUCCACAAUAUACCUUUGUGAGACUGGAUUCUCUGCCCUCAUAGCGAUUAAGACAGAAUACCCUCAGAAAUUAAAUGCUGAAAAUGACUUGUGACUGAAGCUCUCUCCAAUUUUCCCUGCCAUCAGUGAUUUGUGUGAUAAAACCCAUCACACUGAUAGGCCCUGCACAGCUACAUACACUGCAUAUGAGGAGGAGGAGCAGGCAAAGAUUGGGAAGAAGAGACCGGAGAUGGAGAGCUGGGCUGGGGUGAAGGGAAGCUGGAGACCGUGGGGGGUGAAGGAGGAAGGGGAAUUAACUAGUGCAGACCAGCAUGUCCAAGUAGUUAUGGAGGUGUGCAGUGACUGAGGCUGCAGAAGAAGAUCUUGUGGAGGGACUGGCCUCCCUGAGACAAUUCACACAUCCUAACCAGCUCUGCCUCUGCCGGUUUUUCUCCCUUUAGUGUCUCGCCCACCUUUAUCGCAACUUCCUACCUGGAGACCCAGGUGGCUAAGACUCAGGAAUGCAAUUCCUACUCCAGGGGAAGGAGACAUUCUAAUAUUAAAGGAAAGUCAGAAUAGGAACCAGGACGUAGCAGUGAUCAAAUCAGUUUCUAAAUGAACCCAAAACACAUCUCUGAAAGUCUCUUCCUUACCCUUGCAUUCAGCUGGGAGCUGCAUUCCCAGAAUUGUGUUCUGCAAAAUGGUGGCCUCCUAAGUCAUUUCAUUAUUUUGUUAAUUGUUGUUGACAGUUUAAUAAUUUCUGAAGUUAUUUCAGCUUCAUAGCGACUGGAUGCCAUGACUAGAAUCCCCUUGUGUCAGUUUCCCGGCGUUAUGGAGUCU